ACAAUGGAGAGUUUGAUCCUGGCUCAGGACGAACGCUGGCGGCGUGCUUAACACAUGCAAGUCAAGGAGAACGUAUUCUUCGGAAUACUAUUAAACUGGCGAACGGGUGAGUAACGCGUAGGUAACUUGCCUUAAAGUUUGGGAUAACUUUGGGAAACUGGAGCUAAUACCGGAUAAUGCAGUUAAUUCUCAGGUGUAUACUGUUAAAGCGGGCUUCGGCUCGCGCUUUAAGAUAGGCCUGCGUCCGAUUAGUUUGUUGGUGAGGUAAAGGCUCACCAAGGCGAUGAUCGGUAGCUGGUUUGAGAGGAUGAUCAGCCACACUGGGAUUGAGAUACGGCCCAGACUCCUACGGGAGGCAGCAGUGGGGAAUUUUGCACAAUGGGCGAAAGCCUGAUGCAGCAACGCCGCGUGACCGAUGAAGCUUUUCGGAGCGUAAAGGUCUGUCGUGAGGGAAGAACAACUUGGAUGCAAAUAGUGUUUGAGUCUGACGGUACCUCACAAGAAAGCACCGGCUAACUUCGUGCCAGCAGCCGCGGUAAUACGAGGGGUGCUAGCGUUGUCCGGAAUUACUGGGCGUAAAGGGUUCGUAGGCGUCUUGCCAAGUUGAUCGUUACAGCCACCGGCUUAACCGGUGAUCUGCGAUCAAAACUGGUAAGAUAGAAUAUGUGAGGGGAAUGUGGAAUUCCUGGUGUAGCGGUGACAUGCGUAGAUAUCAGGAG
Molecule: ribosomal RNA, 719 nt
Filed under: Fidelibacterota bacterium
Lineage: Bacteria; Pseudomonadati; Fidelibacterota
Description: bacterial SSU rRNA
Rfam family: Bacterial small subunit ribosomal RNA
Source: RNAcentral